UUUUUUUUUUAUAUGGAUUGGUGACUUGCUGUUUCUCUACUCCCCCCCCCCCCCUUUUUGUUUCUUUGAUAAUAUUUCUUUACGCAUUUUGCGUAUGCUAUCAAUAUUUUCUUUUUUCCUUCUCUUUUUUCCCCCUCCCCUUUUUUUGUGGCAUUGCUUACUUAUGUAUCUUACCCUGCCCUCUUAUUUUUGUUUCGACUAACUCUUUGUUUUUGUUCUCAGGCUUUGAUAUGCUAAAUUCUUGCCUUUUGAUUUUGUUUCUAGACUUCUGAUAUUUUAUAUUAUGAAGUAUUGGACAUUCCUCUACCAGAACUGCAAGGCCUAAAAUCUCUUAAAAUUGCUUUUCAUCAAGGAUGAAGGUCCUUCUCUUCAUCAGCUUAGAUUUGGAUGUUGUGUUUUGAGUCCUCCAUGCAGAUAUAGAUGGUGAGGAGGUUAUUCAUGACGUUCGAUGGAUUAUGCUGCAAAGAAUUAAAAUUCUAAAGGAAUUGAAGAGCAGUAAUAUGGCUACCUUAGAGGUGGGGCUGAAAUGUGGAAGUAAGGUUGUUCACUGGCCCAAUUAUCCUAGUUGGCUCGAUCCUGCCCAUGACCAUCACGGAUACGCAUGCUAACAUCUUUGGCAAUACUGGAAGGGAAUCAGUACAUAAAGGUCAAUAUAUGUUGGAGUAAAUAAAGGUCAGUCAGAACACAAAGGGAAUCAAUACGCUACUUAUGUGCACUAAAGGUACACAUUGGUAAUUUAUUUCGUACUGAAUUGUCUUCGCUAACUUUUUUGCCAUUAGUGGAGGGGAAUUAGUACAAUGCUUCUUUGAGGCUUAUCUGGGAGUACAUAAAGGUGAAUCAGCUCGAGGUGACUGUUAUGAUAAUUACUGAUCAAUUUGGUACAUCUUCUAACUGAUGUGGAUCUUUGAGUUAACAAGGCCCGUUUCAGAUUUAUGCAUUGCCGCUCUUUUAUAUUAUUUUAUUUAUGUGUUUUUAUAAUUUUUUUUCCUAUUUGUUGUGCCUUUCUUGACUUUUGCAUCAGUGUCUGGUUUUAAUUCUGUUUUGCGUUUAUUCAUUUCUAUUUCACCAUGGUCAAACUUUGAAAGAGGCCUGGAAUGUCACCUUGGUAUAUUUUCUUUAUUUUGAAAGUAAUUGAAACUUGUUUAGUGGUUACUGUAAUAAUCAGGGAUAUAAAUAGCUUGGUUUUUUAGAGUGAACAGAGAAACUCAGGGGUGAGUUAAAUUUCUUCAUAUUUACUAUUUUUGUUCGAUUUUUUUUUUAACUCCAUUCAUUAUUUUGAAUGUCUAUCUGUAGGUGAUUAUUGGUGGUUAUUAUGAAUUUGCUUUUAAGGUAUUGCAGUAACCUUAUUUUUUGUCUCAGUUUGUUACUUUUAGAUAUCAACCUUCACUGAAUUGUGCUACUUCCUAUGAGCCAUCCUUUUUAGCAGAGCAUACAAGAAGUUAUCAACUAUUUCAGCUGGAGAGAAAAGUCAGAAAGCAGUAUGAAUGAAAAAAGAUCGGAGACCAAUCAUUUCACUUCAUCAGUAUUAGUAAUUCUGGAAGUGCUUGGGGAGUACUACCAAAUUGUUUGCCCUUUGAUUUAAAUCCAGUUUUCUAUAACUUCUGCUGUGAGCUAAAUGCUUAUAUUUCUGUACCUGUUCAAUAACCAACGUUUUUUCAAAAAAUAAAAAUUGAAAUGGGAAAACAGUGAGGAAGAAAAGUCUCGAAAGCAAAAGAAACACAAUGUUAGUUGUGACAGCGGAAUUUUUCAAUUCCUUUCCUUUUAGAAUUUAUAUUCUGUCCGUUUGUUACAAAUUCCAAUUUGAGUAUAAAUUUUCUAAGCAAUAAUAUUCCUUACUUGCUUGGAUUUGAGUGA
Prosopis cineraria is the source of this 1854-nucleotide long non-coding RNA. RefSeq lists it as uncharacterized. Lineage: Eukaryota; Viridiplantae; Streptophyta; Magnoliopsida; Fabales; Fabaceae. The record is from RefSeq and is a predicted model, not a curated record. The transcript has 2 exons.